RNAcentral lists this ribosomal RNA (141 nucleotides) under Cinnamomum reticulatum. RNAcentral's name for it is "5.8S ribosomal RNA". It matches the Rfam family "5.8S ribosomal RNA". Rfam says of the family: 5.8S ribosomal RNA (5.8S rRNA) is a component of the large subunit of the eukaryotic ribosome. Lineage: Eukaryota; Viridiplantae; Streptophyta; Magnoliopsida; Laurales; Lauraceae. The record is from RNAcentral.
CGACUUUCGGCAACGGAUAUCUCGGCUCUCGCAUUGAUGAAGAACGUAGCACAAUGCGAUACUUGGUGUGAAUUGCAGAAUCCUUUGAACCAUCGAGUCUUUGAACGCAAGUUGCACUCGAGGCCGAGGGCACGCCUGCCU